RNAcentral lists this long non-coding RNA (265 nucleotides) under Salvia miltiorrhiza (redroot sage). RNAcentral describes it as "long non-coding RNA (SMIL_LNC012730)". The record is from RNAcentral. Lineage: Eukaryota; Viridiplantae; Streptophyta; Magnoliopsida; Lamiales; Lamiaceae.
AGGCUUCCAAGCUUUUAAAUACCACAAUUUAAAAGUAUAGUGUUUAAUAGCCUCAACUUAAAAGUAAUUUUUUUAUAUACCAAAAUGAAUUAAAAGUCUAAAAUAUCCUCAUAUUAUAUAAUUAAAAAAAGUAAAAAAAAAAGAAAGGAAAAUAGGUCAAAAUUUGGUCCCCACCAACCCCCAAAUUUCAAAUUCCUCCCCACUUUCUCUCUCUACAAUUUUAGACCCACAAUCUUUCAUGUCCGACGAUCGAAGAACCACCUCU